GGGUUGUGAGGUUAAGCGACUAAGCGUACACGGUGGAUGCCCUGGCAGUCAGAGGCGAUGAAGGACGUGCUAAUCUGCGAUAAGCGUCGGUAAGGUGAUAUGAACCGUUAUAACCGGCGAUUUCCGAAUGGGGAAACCCAGUGUGUUUCGACACACUAUCAUUAACUGAAUCCAUAGGUUAAUGAGGCGAACCGGGGGAACUGAAACAUCUAAGUACCCCGAGGAAAAGAAAUCAACCGAGAUUCCCCCAGUAGCGGCGAGCGAACGGGGAGCAGCCCAGAGCCUGAAUCAGUGUGUGUGUUAGUGGAAGCGUCUGGAAAGGCGCGCGAUACAGGGUGACAGCCCCGUACACAAAAAUGCACAUGCUGUGAGCUCGAUGAGUAGGGCGGGACACGUGGUAUCCUGUCUGAAUAUGGGGGGACCAUCCUCCAAGGCUAAAUACUCCUGACUGACCGAUAGUGAACCAGUACCGUGAGGGAAAGGCGAAAAGAACCCCGGCGAGGGGAGUGAAAAAGAACCUGAAACCGUGUACGUACAAGCAGUGGGAGCACGCUUAGGCGUGUGACUGCGUACCUUUUGUAUAAUGGGUCAGCGACUUAUAUUCUGUAGCAAGGUUAACCGAAUAGGGGAGCCGAAGGGAAACCGAGUCUUAACUGGGCGUUAAGUUGCAGGGUAUAGACCCGAAACCCGGUGAUCUAGCCAUGGGCAGGUUGAAGGUUGGGUAACACUAACUGGAGGACCGAACCGACUAAUGUUGAAAAAUUAGCGGAUGACUUGUGGCUGGGGGUGAAAGGCCAAUCAAACCGGGAGAUAGCUGGUUCUCCCCGAAAGCUAUUUAGGUAGCGCCUCGUGAAUUCAUCUCCGGGGGUAGAGCACUGUUUCGGCAAGGGGGUCAUCCCGACUUACCAACCCGAUGCAAACUGCGAAUACCGGAGAAUGUUAUCACGGGAGACACACGGCGGGUGCUAACGUCCGUCGUGAAGAGGGAAACAACCCAGACCGCCAGCUAAGGUCCCAAAGUCAUGGUUAAGUGGGAAACGAUGUGGGAAGGCCCAGACAGCCAGGAUGUUGGCUUAGAAGCAGCCAUCAUUUAAAGAAAGCGUAAUAGCUCACUGGUCGAGUCGGCCUGCGCGGAAGAUGUAACGGGGCUAAACCAUGCACCGAAGCUGCGGCAGCGACACUAUGUGUUGUUGGGUAGGGGAGCGUUCUGUAAGCCUGCGAAGGUGUGCUGUGAGGCAUGCUGGAGGUAUCAGAAGUGCGAAUGCUGACAUAAGUAACGAUAAAGCGGGUGAAAAGCCCGCUCGCCGGAAGACCAAGGGUUCCUGUCCAACGUUAAUCGGGGCAGGGUGAGUCGACCCCUAAGGCGAGGCCGAAAGGCGUAGUCGAUGGGAAACAGGUUAAUAUUCCUGUACUUGGUGUUACUGCGAAGGGGGGACGGAGAAGGCUAUGUUGGCCGGGCGACGGUUGUCCCGGUUUAAGCGUGUAGGCUGGUUUUCCAGGCAAAUCCGGAAAACUAAGGCUGAGGCGUGAUGACGAGGCACUACGGUGCUGAAGCAACAAAUGCCCUGCUUCCAGGAAAAGCCUCUAAGCAUCAGGUAACAUCAAAUCGUACCCCAAACCGACACAGGUGGUCAGGUAGAGAAUACCAAGGCGCUUGAGAGAACUCGGGUGAAGGAACUAGGCAAAAUGGUGCCGUAACUUCGGGAGAAGGCACGCUGAUAUGUAGGUGAAGNNNNNNNNNNNNNNNNNNNNNNNNNNNNNNNNNNNNNNNNNNNNNNNNNNNNNNNNNNNNNNNNNNNNNNNNNNNNNNNNNNNNNNNNNNNNNNAGCGCAAGCGAAGCUCUUGAUCGAAGCCCCGGUAAACGGCGGCCGUAACUAUAACGGUCCUAAGGUAGCGAAAUUCCUUGUCGGGUAAGUUCCGACCUGCACGAAUGGCGUAAUGAUGGCCAGGCUGUCUCCACCCGAGACUCAGUGAAAUUGAACUCGCUGUGAAGAUGCAGUGUACCCGCGGCAAGACGGAAAGACCCCGUGAACCUUUACUAUAGCUUGACACUGAACAUUGAGCCUUGAUGUGUAGGAUAGGUGGGAGGCUUGGAAGUGUGGACGCCAGUCUGCAUGGAGCCGACCUUGAAAUACCACCCUUUAAUGUUUGAUGUUCUAACGUUGACCCGUAAUCCGGGUUGCGGACAGUGUCUGGUGGGUAGUUUGACUGGGGCGGUCUCCUCCUAAAGAGUAACGGAGGAGCACGAAGGUUGGCUAAUCCUGGUCGGACAUCAGGAGGUUAGUGCAAUGGCAUAAGCCAGCUUGACUGCGAGCGUGACGGCGCGAGCAGGUGCGAAAGCAGGUCAUAGUGAUCCGGUGGUUCUGAAUGGAAGGGCCAUCGCUCAACGGAUAAAAGGUACUCCGGGGAUAACAGGCUGAUACCGCCCAAGAGUUCAUAUCGACGGCGGUGUUUGGCACCUCGAUGUCGGCUCAUCACAUCCUGGGGCUGAAGUAGGUCCCAAGGGUAUGGCUGUUCGCCAUUUAAAGUGGUACGCGAGCUGGGUUUAGAACGUCGUGAGACAGUUCGGUCCCUAUCUGCCGUGGGCGCUGGAGAACUGAGGGGGGCUGCUCCUAGUACGAGAGGACCGGAGUGGACGCAUCACUGGUGUUCGGGUUGUCAUGCCAAUGGCACUGCCCGGUAGCUAAAUGCGGAAGAGAUAAGUGCUGAAAGCAUCUAAGCACGAAACUUGCCCCGAGAUGAGUUCUCCCUGACUCCUUGAGAGUCCUGAAGGAACGUUGAAGACGACGACGUUGAUAGGCCGGGUGUGUAAGCGCAGCGAUGCGUUGAGCUAACCGGUACUAAUGAACCGUGAGGCUUAACCUUACAACGCCGAAGGUGUUU
This 2883-nucleotide ribosomal RNA is filed under the name Escherichia coli. RNAcentral describes it as "23S ribosomal RNA". It matches the Rfam family "Bacterial large subunit ribosomal RNA". Lineage: Bacteria; Pseudomonadati; Pseudomonadota; Gammaproteobacteria; Enterobacterales; Enterobacteriaceae. The record is from RNAcentral.